This 253-nucleotide ribosomal RNA is filed under the name uncultured bacterium. Its description in RNAcentral is "partial 16S ribosomal RNA". It matches the Rfam family "Bacterial small subunit ribosomal RNA", at positions 524 to 776 of the family's 1533-position model. The record is from RNAcentral.
UACGUAGGGGGCAAGCGUUGUCCGGAUUUAUUGGGCGUAAAGAGCGUGUAGGCGGCCUGACAGGUCUGCUGUGAAAACUCGAGGCUCAACCUCGAGAUGUCGGCGGAAACCGUCUGGCUAGAGUCCUGAAGAGGAGAGUGGAAUUCCUGGUGUAGCGGUGAAAUGCGCAGAUAUCAGGAAGAACACCUAUGGCGAAGGCAGCUCUCUGGGACGGUACUGACGCUGAGACGCGAAAGCGUGGGGAGCGAACAGG